AGCGAGAUAGUGUAAUUGGUAACACUACAGCCUCAUGAGCUGUCAUUUAAGAUUCGAGUUCUUAUUUCGCUA
Molecule: non-coding RNA, 72 nt
Organism: Psilocybe cubensis
Lineage: Eukaryota; Fungi; Basidiomycota; Agaricomycetes; Agaricales; Agrocybaceae
Source: the annotation of a RefSeq genome assembly